GAUGAACGCUGGCGGCGUGCCUAAUACAUGCAAGUCGAGCGAACGGAUGCGAAGCUUGCUUCUCUCAUUUUAGCGGCGGACGGGUGAGUAACACGUGGGUAACCUACCUAUCAGACUGGGAUAACUUCGGGAAACCGGAGCUAAUACCGGAUAAUAUUUUGAACCGCAUGGUUCAAAAGUGAAAGACGGUCUUGCUGUCACUUAUUGAUUGAUCCGCGCUGCAUUAGCUAGUUGGUAAGGUAACGGCUUACCAAGGCCACGAUGCAUAGCCGACCUGAGAGGGUGAUCGGCCACACUGGAACUGAGACACGGUCCAGACUCCUACGGGAGGCAGCAGUAGGGAAUCUUCCGCAAUGGGCGAAAGUCUGACGGAGCAACGCCGCGUGAGUGAAGAAGGUCUUCGGAUCGUAAAACUCUGUUAUUAGGGAAGAACAUAUGUGAAAGUAACUGUGAACAUCUUGACGGUACCUAAUCAGAAAGCCACGGCUAACUACGUG
Molecule: ribosomal RNA, 497 nt
Filed under: uncultured bacterium
Lineage: Bacteria
Description: partial 16S ribosomal RNA
Rfam family: Bacterial small subunit ribosomal RNA
Source: RNAcentral